CGGGCCCGCCAAGUGUUGAUCUUAGGUCUAACGGAUCAAAACCGUGUAUUCUACUGCUGAACUACAAGCCC
This 71-nucleotide transfer RNA is filed under the name Sylvanvirus sp. RNAcentral describes it as "tRNA-Gln". The record is from RNAcentral.